UAUACUUAGACCUACCUCAUAGAGUUGUU
Molecule: non-coding RNA, 29 nt
Filed under: Rattus norvegicus (Norway rat)
Lineage: Eukaryota; Metazoa; Chordata; Mammalia; Rodentia; Muridae
Source: RNAcentral